Non-coding RNA from Drosophila melanogaster (fruit fly), 1197 nucleotides. The record is from Ensembl. NCBI's taxonomy places the organism in Eukaryota, Metazoa, Arthropoda, Insecta, Diptera, Drosophilidae.
UUGCUCGCCCAGAAUUUCCACUCCUUUACUGCAUUUUUUAUAGGCAACACACAAAGGUGUAUUUUACUUGCCAUGAACAGGGAUUGCAUACAUUGUUUCUGUUCAGCGGGCUUUUGUCCGUGUUUCCUGGCUGCUCCAUGCGUCAAAUGAGGAUAUUCAAUUUGAACUUGAUAUGCAUUUUAUGUUGUUGCCCCCGGAGAAACUGGAUGCUCAACAAGCGUAUUGGAAAUCAGAGCAAUCAUCAUCCGAUGGGUCAAGGGUCUAAGGAUACGGCUUGGAUAUGAGCGGCUUGGAUAUGAGCGGCUUGGAUAUGCAGCCGCAUUUACAUAUAAACUCAUAUUCUGCUUAUGCCUGGGAAUUAGAUAAUUCCACAGAAAGUAGUUUUUAUUGUGUGCAGAGCAAAACAAUUGCGAAAAUAAGAAAAGCGAAUGAAUUUGUUUGCAAAAAGAUUUAUUAGGUGCAGAGAUGCAUUUAUUGGACGUCAGAGCAAAACGCCGCACUGAGUGCGAUGCAAAAUAAAUUAUUUACUCGAAUUACAUCUGCUAUGCCCGCAAUUCACACAGCCCAAAGUCUCACGUUUCGACUGCAAUUUUCCCCUGCUCCUGCUCCUUCCACUGAAAAUGGGAUCCUGAAUGCCUUCGCCUAACAAUACGCACGCAAUUACCGCAGGACGAGCAGCCGAAAAGGGCGAAAACUUCAACUCCCAAACGCUUGACGAAAGUUUCACAGUUGUCCUGAUGACGACCAUCAUGAUGAUGAUGAUGAUGAUGCUGUUGGCGAUGGCUAUGACGAUGGCGAUGGCGCUGGACAAACUUUUUCAGAGCUCUAAUUGCCCAAGUGGCUUUCGAGUUCGAGUUCGAGUCGAGCGUCGCCACGUAAUGGAGAAAGGAGCCCCAAACUUUUGCCCAAUUCAGCAGAACUGCGAGCACAACAUCUUCUUCUGCCGCUGGACAGGAUUCACCGCCUCCACUUCUAUUUCACUCACAAAAUGCACAAUCAAAGCUGACCGUUGGCGUUAUUAACGCAAAUGAAAGUGGUGCAAUACCGCUACACCUGCGGCCAAAAUAGUAGUGUAUCUUACAUAGAACAUUCAUUAUUUUUAGCUUAAUUUGUAACGAGCAUACUUAACGAAAUAGUAUAAACUUAUGUUGGAAGGGAACUGAAAAAAAGAAUAGAAAUGGAAAUUUAAAUGAGAUU